Molecule: ribosomal RNA, 497 nt
Filed under: uncultured bacterium
Lineage: Bacteria
Description: partial 16S ribosomal RNA
Rfam family: Bacterial small subunit ribosomal RNA
Source: RNAcentral
GAUGAACGCUGGCGGCGUGCCUAAUACAUGCAAGUCGAGCGAACAGACGAGGAGCUUGCUCCUCUGACGUUAGCGGCGGACGGGUGAGUAACACGUGGAUAACCUACCUAUAAGACUGGGAUAACUUCGGGACACCGGAGCUAAUACCGGAUAAUAUAUUGAACCGCAUGGUUCAAUAGUGAAAGACGGUUUUGCUGUCACUUAUAGAUGGAUCCGCGCCGCAUUAGCUAGUUGGUAAGGUAACGGCUUACCAAGGCAACGAUGCGUAGCCGACCUGAGAGGGUGGUCGGCCACACUGGAACGGAGACACGGUCCAGACUACUGCGGGAGGCAGCAGUAGGGAAUCUUCCGCAAUGGGCGAAAGCCUGACGGAGCAAGGCCGAGUGAGUUAUGAAGGUCUUCGGAUCGUAAAACUCUGUUAUUAGGGAAGAACAAAUGUGUAAGUAACUAUGCACGUCUUGACGGUACCUAAUCAGAAAGCCACGGCUAACUACGUG